GUGCUAACUUCGGCAGCACAUAUACUAAAAUUGGAAUGGUAAGAGAAAAUUAUCAUGGCCCCUGUGCAAGGCUGACAUGAAAAGGUGUAAAGCAUUCCAUUUUUUA
RNAcentral lists this small nuclear RNA (106 nucleotides) under Mandrillus leucophaeus (drill). Lineage: Eukaryota; Metazoa; Chordata; Mammalia; Primates; Cercopithecidae. The record is from RNAcentral.